GGUGGCCGCAGAGAAUAGGCCCAAGCGACUGUUUACCAAAAACAUAGGUUUCUGCUAAGUCGCAAGACGAUGUAUAGGAGCUGACGCCUGCCCGGUGCUGGAAGGUUAAGGGGAUCUGUUAGAGCAAUCGAAGCAGUGAACUUAAGCCCCAGUAAACGGCGGCCGUAACUAUAACGGUCCUAAGGUAGCGAAAUUCCUUGUCGGGUAAGUUCCGACCCGCACGAAAGGCGUAACGAUUUGGGCACUGUCUCAACAACAGACUCGGUGAAAUUG
Molecule: ribosomal RNA, 273 nt
Filed under: Clostridioides difficile
Lineage: Bacteria; Bacillati; Bacillota; Clostridia; Peptostreptococcales; Peptostreptococcaceae
Description: partial 23S ribosomal RNA
Rfam family: Bacterial large subunit ribosomal RNA
Source: RNAcentral